This 253-nucleotide ribosomal RNA is filed under the name uncultured bacterium. Its description in RNAcentral is "partial 16S ribosomal RNA". It matches the Rfam family "Bacterial small subunit ribosomal RNA", at positions 524 to 776 of the family's 1533-position model. The record is from RNAcentral.
UACGUAGGGUGCGAGCGUUAAUCGGAAUUACUGGGCGUAAAGCGUGCGCAGGCGGUUCGUUGUGUCGGUGGUGAAAUCCCCGGGCUUAACCUGGGAAUGGCCAUGGAAACUGGCGAACUGGAGUGCGGCAGAGGGGGGUGGAAUUCCCGGUGUAGCAGUGAAAUGCGUAGAUAUCGGGAGGAACACCAGUGGCGAAGGCGAGUCCCUGAACAAACCCUGACACUGAGGCACGAAAGCCAAGGGAGCAAACAGG